UUUCCGGUUGAUCCUGCCGGACCUGACUGCUAUCGGAUUAAUACUAAGCCAUGCGAGUCUUUGUAGUAAUACAAGGCAGACGGCUCAGUAACGCGUAGUCAACCUACCCUAUGGACGGGAAUAAUCUCGGGAAACUGAGCAUAAUACCCGGCGUACCACCAUUCCUGGAAUGGUUGGUGGUUAAAAUGAUUCGUCGCCGUAGGAUGGGACUGCGACCUAUCAGCUUGUUGGUGAGGUAAAGGCCCACCAAGGCGAUUACAGGUACGGGCUCUGAGAGGAGAAGCCCGGAGAUGGGUACUGAGACACGGACCCAGGCCCUAUGGGCGCAGCAGGCGAGAAAACUUUGCAAUGUGCGAAAGCACGACAAGGUUAAUCCGAGUGAUUUCUGCUGAAGGAAUCUUUUGCCAGUUCUAAAAAUACUAGUGAAUAAGGGGUGGGCAAGUUCUGGUGUCAGCCGCCGCGGUAAAACCAGCACCUCAAGUGGUCAGGAGGAUUAUUGGGCCUAAAGCAUCCGUAGCCUGCUCUGUAAGUUUUCGGUUAAAUCUAUAUGCUCAACGUAUAGGCUGCCGAAAAUACUGCAGUGCUAGGAAGUGGGAGAGGUAGACGGUACUUGAUAGGAAGGGGUAAAAUCCUUUGAUCUAUCGAUGACCACCUGUGGCGAAGGCGGUCUACCAGAACACGUUCGACGGUGAGGGAUG
This 698-nucleotide ribosomal RNA is filed under the name uncultured archaeon. RNAcentral's name for it is "bacterial SSU rRNA". It matches the Rfam family "Archaeal small subunit ribosomal RNA", at positions 1 to 706 of the family's 1478-position model. The record is from RNAcentral.